Molecule: transfer RNA, 76 nt
Filed under: Hymenobacter sp.
Lineage: Bacteria; Pseudomonadati; Bacteroidota; Cytophagia; Cytophagales; Hymenobacteraceae
Description: tRNA-Asn
Rfam family: tRNA
About the family: Transfer RNA (tRNA) molecules are approximately 80 nucleotides in length. Their secondary structure includes four short double-helical elements and three loops (D, anti-codon, and T loops). Further hydrogen bonds mediate the characteristic L-shaped molecular structure. tRNAs have two regions of fundamental functional importance: the anti-codon, which is responsible for specific mRNA codon recognition, and the 3' end, to which the tRNAs corresponding amino acid is attached (by aminoacyl-tRNA synthetases). tRNAs cope with the degeneracy of the genetic code in two manners: having more than one tRNA (with a specific anti-codon) for a particular amino acid; and 'wobble' base-pairing, i.e. permitting non-standard base-pairing at the 3rd anti-codon position.
Source: RNAcentral
UUCCUGGUAGCUUCAAUGGUAGAGCGCCCGGCUGUUAACCGGAUGGUUGUAGGUUCGAGUCCUACUCAGGGAGCCA